This 211-nucleotide long non-coding RNA is filed under the name Panax ginseng (ginseng). Its description in RNAcentral is "long non-coding RNA (PGIN_LNC018388)". Lineage: Eukaryota; Viridiplantae; Streptophyta; Magnoliopsida; Apiales; Araliaceae. The record is from RNAcentral.
UGACAAUCACCUUCUUUAGCCACCCCACCUUUAGGCUUUAAAGCCUGUUUGGUUCUGGGAUUAGGUUUAGCGCCAGAUUUAGAUCCUAUCUUCUUCUUGGCCUUCCAAUUUCCCUUAGCAUUACCCUUUUGUACCAUCAUUUUGGUAGCGGGUGCUGCCUUUCUCAUGUUGUUCUCAGUAGUUCUUAACAUGCUCAAUAACUCAGUAAGGG